This 748-nucleotide non-coding RNA is filed under the name Pongo abelii (Sumatran orangutan). The record is from RNAcentral. Lineage: Eukaryota; Metazoa; Chordata; Mammalia; Primates; Hominidae.
ACCACAUGGUCCAUCCCUUGCUUCAAUCAUAGAAUUCUUUCUUCAGAUCAAAGUAUAUUCAGACACCCGAUACAGUAACAAAAGCAAGCUAUCCUGGAAGGAAGAAGGAAUCAGGAGGCAGAGCACAUGGUUAAAGCAUGAGAUGUGAAACCAGGAAGAACCAGGUCUGAAUCUUAGCUCCACCAGUGGUAGCUCCAAACCUUAGUCCUUUCUGAGCCUGCUUCUUCAACCCUAAGGAAUUCGGAAACGGGACCCAGAAAGUUGUUUCCUGCAAGUGGCUGGAACAACACAAGCAAUAAGUAUCCUGAAACAGGCCCUGUUCCAACAAACUGACCCAGAAAGCAAGUAUGAGGAAUCCUGUUUCCCUACGUUCUCACUACGACAGCAGGAUAUCAAACAUUGAUAUCCACCAAUCUCUGGAUGGAAAAACAAAUCUCAGGGAAAAGCACUUGGGACCCGCCAAACGGAGGAUGCAAAAAGGGGUGUAACACUGUGUCCCUCCCUCCCGCUUACCCAGCAAUGGGGGAGAAAAAGUCGCUGGGCAUGACACACCACCGUUCGCCAACGCUGUGGGCAGCAAGAAUGAAUAAGAGCUGUAGUGCUUCUUGAGAGCCCAGACCUCGAGACUCUCCAAAGCAGGGUUGUAAUAUGCCCCUGCUCGCCAAGCCCUUGGCAGUGGGAACUGAGCUGUGACACCCUUGGGGCUCUGCAGUUCCUGGCAUCUCCGAGUUUUCAGGCACCACCACAU